Molecule: transfer RNA, 62 nt
Filed under: Limnodrilus hoffmeisteri
Lineage: Eukaryota; Metazoa; Annelida; Clitellata; Tubificida; Naididae
Description: tRNA-Tyr
Source: RNAcentral
UACAAGGUGGUCGAGAAUAAACUAUAAACUGUAAAUUUAUAAACGGGAAAUUACCCCCUUGU